AAAAAUUUUACAAUGAGGAUGAACGCAACAAAACUUCACCACUUUAGAAAAAAAUUAAAAAGAAAAGUGGUGAUGUGCGUGAGUCCUUACAUCCAGUCGUAAACGGAAUAUAAAAUUGUGGAUUUAAGUAAGUUUCUCCUUUUUUUUCGCCACCACCAUCUCGCGUGGAAUGACUACGCGACCAAACCAAAUUUCUUGUGUUUCAUUUUAUUCCUUCGGACAAAGACAAAUCAAAAAAAGCCAUGUUCAUUCUUGGGAGUCUCAUGUGUAAGUAUGUGUGUGUGUGCAGGCACGCUGCAUCCAUUGAAAAAAAUUCCAUGCACACACACAUGCACGAAGUAGUUGCAGUCGUGUAAACGCACAUGAAGGGUGCGCAACGCCGUUCAUUCACCUACAUCGCCCAUUCAUGCCGUUUGUCGAUUUAUAAAUCCCUACGCGACUUUGCCGUGUAUUGUUGCAGCUCAUUCAUCGGAAUCGGACAAACCAAAAACAGAAAUUUGCCGAAGUUGCACGCACUCAUCAAACAAUUUAUAACCAGGUCUCUAUAUUGUGCAGGUAAACGACCAUGGUUGUGUAUAAAAAUAAAGUGCAAGUGAUAUUUAAAAUUGGCAGUGCAUCUGCCUGAAACUUAUUUGUGUGUUAUGAAAAAAGUAUAAAAUUAAAUUUAAACAAAGAACUGAUGUGCGGAUAGACAGAUUGUCAACCAACAAAAAUAGGAUAUCCAAACGGCUUUAAAUCGCUGCAUAAGGAGUAAACUGCUGAUUGGCGUAUUUCAAGAACAUAAUUCAGUGGUGUUUCCGUCAAAGGAAAAGGAACUUCAUAUGACUUUUUUCAGCGGGAUUUGGCUUUCUUUCUUUUCUUUGAUUUUUAGGUGGGAUCUACUGGUUAGCUUCCCGGAUUGGUACUAUUGCCUGUUCCAAGGGUUAUCCACUGGCAGUUUCCCAGGUCUUUUGGCCGUUUCCAGAACCUUUUCGUUGCCUGGAACCCCUGUGCCGCACCUGGCGAUACAAAAAUAAUUGUUGGGGAUGCCCGCUUCUUUUUCGUCCAAGUCGGAUGGCGCUGUCCAAUUGUGGAUUUAUGCGCGGCGUUAUUCCUAAAUAGAACACAAAAACUUAACACAACACAUCCGACAUAACAUCACUUACAAAUCAACACUUACAAAUUGUUUAGAUACGCCACACAAAUAAAACAAUAAAACACACAAAUUGUAACUGCCAA
Molecule: long non-coding RNA, 1218 nt
Organism: Musca domestica (house fly)
Lineage: Eukaryota; Metazoa; Arthropoda; Insecta; Diptera; Muscidae
Exons: 6
Source: RefSeq, a predicted model, not a curated record